This 758-nucleotide ribosomal RNA is filed under the name uncultured archaeon. RNAcentral's name for it is "bacterial SSU rRNA". It matches the Rfam family "Archaeal small subunit ribosomal RNA", at positions 116 to 858 of the family's 1478-position model. The record is from RNAcentral.
UAAGGCGGGAGUAACCCCGGGAAACUGGGGCUAAUACCUGAUAGGCGAAAAAGUCUGGAAUGAUUUUUCACUUAAAGAGUUCUUGGAACAUGCUCCUUUAACUGCUUAAGGAUGAGACUGCGUCCGAUCAGGUUGUUGGUGGGGUAACGGCCUACCAAGCCUAUAACCGGUACGGGCCCUGAGAGGGGGAGCCCGGAGAUGGGAACUGAGACAAGGUCCCAGACCCUACGGGGUGCAGCAGUUGCGAAAACUCUACAAUGCACGAAAGUGUGAUAGGGUUAUCCCGAGUGCCGUCCGAUGAGGAUGGCUUUUACCUGGUGUAAGGAGCCAGGGGAAUAAAGGGGGGGCAAGACUGGUGUCAGCCGCCGCGGUAAUACCAGCCCCCUGAGUGGUAGGGAUGAUUAUUUGGCCUAAAGCGUCCGUAGCCGGCUUAGCAAGUCUUUCGUUAAAUCCGGUGACUCAAUCAUCGGGCUGCGAGAGAUACUACUAGGCUAGAGGACGGGAGAGGUCGACGGUAUUUCGGGGGUAGGGGCAAAAUCCUAUAAUCCUCGGAGGACCACCAGUGGCGAAGGCGGUCGACUAGAACGUGCCUGACGGUGAUGGACGAAAGCUGGGGGAGCAAACCGGAUUAGACACCCGGGUAGUCCCAGCUGUAAACGAUGCGGGCUAGGUGUUGGGGCAGCUACGAGCUGCUCCAGUGCCGCAGAGAAGUCAUUAAGCCCGCCGCCUGGGAAGUACGGUCGCAAGACUGAAACUUA